This 348-nucleotide unclassified non-coding RNA is filed under the name soil metagenome. RNAcentral describes it as "partial contains 5.8S ribosomal RNA, internal transcribed spacer 2, and large subunit ribosomal RNA". The stretch from base 1 to 120 matches the Rfam family "5.8S ribosomal RNA", at positions 35 to 154 of the family's 154-position model. The record is from RNAcentral.
GAUGAAGAACGUAGUGAAAUGCGAUAAGUAAUGUGAAUUGCAGAAUUCAGUGAAUCAUCGAAUCUUUGAACGCACAUUGCGCCCGCCAGUACUCUGGCGGGCAUGCCUGUCCGAGCGUCAUUUCAACCCUCAGGGCCCUCCAGCAGGGCGCUGGUGUUGGGGAUCGGCAGUCCCAGCGGCUGCCGUCCCUGAAAUGUAGUGGCGGUCCCACCGUGACCUCCCCUGUGCAGUACAUCGCUCGCAGAGGGACAGCGGUGCGGCCACGCCGUAAAACGCCCAACUCUUCAAGGUUGACCUCGGAUCAGGUAGGACUACCCGCUGAACUUAAGCAUAUCAAUAAGCGGAGGA